This 922-nucleotide ribosomal RNA is filed under the name Bacillus siamensis. RNAcentral describes it as "bacterial SSU rRNA". It matches the Rfam family "Bacterial small subunit ribosomal RNA", at positions 54 to 959 of the family's 1533-position model. The record is from RNAcentral. Lineage: Bacteria; Bacillati; Bacillota; Bacilli; Caryophanales; Bacillaceae.
AAUGCAGUCGAGCGNACAGAUGGGAGCUUGCUCCCUGAUGUUAGCGGCGGACGGGUGAGUAACACGUGGGUAACCUGCCUGUAAGACUGGGAUAACUCCGGGAAACCGGGGCUAAUACCGGAUGGUUGUUUGAACCGCAUGGUUCAGACAUAAAAGGUGGCUUCGGCUACCACUUACAGAUGGACCCGCGGCGCAUUAGCUAGUUGGUGAGGUAACGGCUCACCAAGGCGACGAUGCGUAGCCGACCUGAGAGGGUGAUCGGCCACACUGGGACUGAGACACGGCCCAGACUCCUACGGGAGGCAGCAGUAGGGAAUCUUCCGCAAUGGACGAAAGUCUGACGGAGCAACGCCGCGUGAGUGAUGAAGGUUUUCGGAUCGUAAAGCUCUGUUGUUAGGGAAGAACAAGUGCCGUUCAAAUAGGGCGGCACCUUGACGGUACCUAACCAGAAAGCCACGGCUAACUACGUGCCAGCAGCCGCGGUAAUACGUAGGUGGCAAGCGUUGUCCGGAAUUAUUGGGCGUAAAGGGCUCGCAGGCGGUUUCUUAAGUCUGAUGUGAAAGCCCCCGGCUCAACCGGGGAGGGUCAUUGGAAACUGGGGAACUUGAGUGCAGAAGAGGAGAGUGGAAUUCCACGUGUAGCGGUGAAAUGCGUAGAGAUGUGGAGGAACACCAGUGGCGAAGGCGACUCUCUGGUCUGUAACUGACGCUGAGGAGCGAAAGCGUGGGGAGCGAACAGGAUUAGAUACCCUGGUAGUCCACGCCGUAAACGAUGAGUGCUAAGUGUUAGGGGGUUUCCGCCCCUUAGUGCUGCAGCUAACGCAUUAAGCACUCCGCCUGGGGAGUACGGUCGCAAGACUGAAACUCAAAGGAAUUGACGGGCGCCCGCACAAGCGGUGGAGCAGNUGGUUAAUUCGAAGCAC